This is a non-coding RNA of Phascolarctos cinereus (koala), 863 nucleotides long. Lineage: Eukaryota; Metazoa; Chordata; Mammalia; Diprotodontia; Phascolarctidae. The record is from RefSeq and is a predicted model, not a curated record.
CAGGAAAGCAGACCAAGAGGCCUAGAGCUCUAUGGAAACUUCUGGGUCACCUGUCCAAAUUGCCUCACUUUACACAGGAAGAAAUAGAAAGCCUGAGAGGGGGAUAGUAACCUGCACAAGGUCAUACAGCUAAUUAUAGCCCUGGAACUAGUCAAAGCUCUCAGAUCCCAACUGCUGGUUUCAUGUUCUUUAAAAUUAAUAAUACUUCCCAAAUUGGCUUGGGAACCAGGUAUUCUCCCAGACUUAAUUAUCACAUUUGGAGUGCCAACAGGUCAGUUAAUGUGUACAGACAGCCUAACAACUGUGAUUCCUAGCACCCUCUGCCCCUUUUUCCUCCCCUCUACCACCAGAAUGCCAGAACCAAGGAGAAGGAUGGAUAGGACUAUGGUACAGGGUCCUGUUACAACACCAGUUGGCUUGUUGGGGUGGAGGAUGAGUCCUGCUUCCAGUGCUUGACGUCCAAGGUUCACACCUCUGGGUGAGCUCCAGAACUGCCCUGGACUUGACAACAGAUGCAAAAACUGAGGUUUACAGAAGGUGUGUGAGUGGUCCAUGGCUACACAGCUCAGAAGUGUCUGGAGGAUGAAAGGCCAUGACUCCUGACUUUCAGCCCAGUGACCCAGCUCUGGCCUAGCUUGUGCUGCCUCCCGUACUACCGGUGAAUUACAAAUUGUGUUUUAAAAACGCUUUCUGGUUAGCAAUGGGGACUGGACAUGGGGUUUCACUGGGAUAGGGACCUUCUAAGGAAAGAAACUCCCUCUACUAAUGCAGGUAUGCACCUUUUUUGUAACUUAGACUCUUAGAGAGUUGUCUAGAGCAGAGGUUUCAAAUUCCUGAGGAUUGGGAACCAAAUUAAAAUAUAA